This 938-nucleotide long non-coding RNA is filed under the name Pan troglodytes (chimpanzee). Its description in RNAcentral is "long non-coding RNA NONPTRT006346". The record is from RNAcentral. Lineage: Eukaryota; Metazoa; Chordata; Mammalia; Primates; Hominidae.
AAAUAGCUGCCCAUGUCAAGAUGUGGGUAUGUGAUUUAAAUAUUUUAAUUUGAAUCACAUUUUACAUAGUCUAGGAAACUGACAAAAGAAUCCUAUAGAGAAUUGUUUUAUAAAGUGAAUAACUGCUUCUCUACCUACCUGCCCCUCUCAUUCUUCUUUUCUGUGCGUGUUUUUGGGGGGCUGUUAUGGGAUAAAUCUUGUUUGGCUUAAAAAUCACUAAAACGCAGCCUUUCAAAUCCAAAACAGAGAGCUUAGGUACCCAACAUUCUAUAGAAUGUAUUAUUUCCUCAAGAGGUUGCUAGGAACAGUUAUGUAGAUCUACCAGGUGCAGGGAAGCACUCCACACUCUCACCCAGGUCCUGUAUCCCUGCAAGACUGCGUUGGAAAGACUGAAGAGCAUCCGCUCCCUCAAAGGUGAAAACCAGAAAUUGGCAGUAGAUGAUAUGCAACUAUUAAAUAUAAUGUGAAGCUUUAGUCUCAAUAGGUUUGGACAAAUAAUAAAUGAAAGUAAUUUUCAAAACUGAAGGGAAGUAAUACCAAGAAAGUCAGCAGAGUGAAAAGAACACUGGAUAGAAUGAAGAGACAAGACUUUUAGUCUCUGGCCAACUUUGGGAGACUUAAUUCACUUUCCAGGCCUCAGUUUCCUCAAUCAAGAAAUUGGAUUUUAGGCAUCUUUUAUCCGUAAUUCUAAAUCCGAGUUGCGAGGACAGAGAACCUGGAGGACUGACACUGGGAAGAUUACAGAAGGCAGAGCUCCAGAGGGCAAAGCAAGAAAAUGUUACAAAUCUAUUUAUUCAAUCCUUGAAACUGAGUGUAUCUGUUCCACUAUCAAAAUGGUUCCCCUUACUUUUUUCUUCCCUUUAAGUCAAGCAUGAAUUUUUCAUAUUUCGUAUAGUGUUUGCUUUAGAAAUAUAACACCUUGUAAACGUAACAAGCCA